This 1161-nucleotide long non-coding RNA is filed under the name Sorghum bicolor (sorghum). RNAcentral's name for it is "long non-coding RNA (SBIC_LNC005434)". The record is from RNAcentral. Lineage: Eukaryota; Viridiplantae; Streptophyta; Magnoliopsida; Poales; Poaceae.
GUUUGGAUGAGAUAAGUAUUAAGCAACAACAAAUGGGUGAUGUAAGCCAUCGACAAACAUGUGUCCGGUGUUUUCUUGCUAUUAUUUGCUUUGCUCUUAAUUCAGAGCUGGGGUGUUGCUGUGCUGAUGGGUUUGUAACAAAGAUGCUGAAUCUAAGACUUAUCCAAUGAAGCUCCUGAAUAAGGGGACCCUAAAAGGAACCUUUGUGUGGCACCAGCAAAACUGAAAAACUUGUGUGAAGACAAGUAAAAUACAGUGUCCGAACUCCGAAGUCAACAGAAAUUUACAUUUGGUUGAUGUGGUGAAAUCUGCAUGGAUGUCAUUUCAGGAUUAUUUUCUCAUGAAAAGAAAUAUAUAGAUUUUUGUUGAAAUUUAAUAGGAAGACACUAUUAAAUUUAAAUCUGAACAAGCACCAUUAAUCAGAUAACAUACCGGUUCGCUGUCAUUUUUGAGAAACAUGGAGCUCUCCAUCUCGUUGGAUGGAAAACCUGGUCCUUAGGUUUCUCACAGGCUUGCAUAGUUGUACUUAUUCUUUAUACCUACAUUAUUCUCAUCUGUUUGGUGCUAUUAUUACUUACUCGCAAAACUUCUAGGCUUUGGUGAUGUCUUUUUGUAACUUGUGUGAUCUGUCUUCCUUUCAUAAAGCCAGGAAGUUGGUAGUUGCUCAUACCAUGUGCCAGUUAACUCUGGUGACAAACAAAUGAAUGAGGAUUCGAACAAUGUGAACAAAGACACUAUUGAAUGCAAGGUUGAAUCUAAGCAAAUUGCUCAAGGUAUAUAGCAGACCAAAAUAAGGCCAGACUCCAAAACCUUGCCUUUCAUAUCAACUUAUUUCGUUAUAAUUUGUCAAGGGCAAAGGUAAGGAAUAAGAUGCUUAGGUUUUUACCCUUCAUCAAUGGGAGAAGAGGAAAGCCACUGGUUUGAAGCCAAAUGCAGAAAGCUAUGUGCAUGACACUAGCGGAGAUGAGUAGUUGGCAAGGCAACACCAGGAACAACUAGAACUAGAAGAUACGCCAGAGUGCGAGGAAUGAGCAGAGGAAGAUUUUAGCCAGUGACACAGUUGUAGGUUUAUAUGUUUGUUGUGUGUUCAGUGUAGUCCACUGGAUGUAGGGCAAAAGUGGACAGCCCUCGUAGUAUCAUGUUUGGGUAAUAGUACAACAC